UCCAUCUUCAUGAAUGAGAUUCAUGCCCUGACAUGAUAGGACUAAGGGAGUUUGUUCAUCUCUUCUGUGUUGUGAGGAUGCAGAAGGAGAGGGCUGUGUAUGAAGCAGCAUGGAAGCUGUCACCAGGUUUCCUGAUGCCAUUGUUGAGAAUCUGUAUCUAAUCACAUCAAAUAGUCUGGACACCUUAGGAGUCAGGAAUCCCUACUUCUGCAUCUCUAUCCCACUUGUCAGCACCCUCAGUGGCCCGGAUGCAAGAGUGACUCACUAAGUCCCAGGUUUUCUUGGUUGGUAUUCCAGAGCCUUCAUCCAGCAGCUGAUGGAAGCAGAAGCAGAGAUCCACAGCUGAACACCAAGCAGAACUCCAGGAAUCCAGUGGCAGAGAGGGAAGAGUGAUGAGCAAAGGGGUCAGGACCAGACUGGAGAAACCCAUGGAAACAGCUGACCUGAACAAGGUGUUGCUCAUGGACCCUAGACUGAUAGCUGGGAAACCAGCAUAGGACUGUUCCAAACCCCCUGAGUGUGGAUGUCAGUUUGGAGGUCUGGGCAAUCUAUGGGGUCUCUGGUAGUGGAUCAGUAUUUAAUCCCUUGUGUAUGAAUGGACUUUGGGAGCCCAUUCCACAUAGAGGGGUACUCUCUCAGCCUAGACACACAGGGGAGGGUCUAGGCCCUGCUCCAAAUGAUGUGACAGACUUUGAAGGUCUCCCAUGGAAGGCCUCACCCUACAUGGGGAGCCCGAAGGAGGUUGGGAUGGAGGGGGCAGGGGAGGAAGGGAGGGAGAGGGAUUUGGGAUUGAAGUGUAAAAGAAGCUUGUUUCUAAUAAAAGAAAG
This 827-nucleotide long non-coding RNA is filed under the name Cricetulus griseus (Chinese hamster). Its description in RNAcentral is "lncRNA (ENSCGRG00015034724.1)". Lineage: Eukaryota; Metazoa; Chordata; Mammalia; Rodentia; Cricetidae. The record is from RNAcentral.